GAGGCCGAAAGGCGUAGUCGAUGGGAAACAGGUUAAUAUUCCUGUACUUGGUGUUACUGCGAAGGGGGGACGGAGAAGGCUAUGUUGGCCGGGCGACGGUUGUCCCGGUUUAAGCGUGUAGGCUGGUUUUCCAGGCAAAUCCGGAAAAUCAAGGCUGAGGCGUGAUGACGAGGCACUACGGUGCUGAAGCAACAAAUGCCCUGCUUCCAGGAAAAGCCUCUAAGCAUCAGGUAACAUCAAAUCGUACCCCAAACCGACACAGGUGGUCAGGUAGAGAAUACCAAGGCGCUUGAGAGAACUCGGGUGAAGGAACUAGGCAAAAUGGUGCCGUAACUUCGGGAGAAGG
Molecule: ribosomal RNA, 346 nt
Filed under: Escherichia coli
Lineage: Bacteria; Pseudomonadati; Pseudomonadota; Gammaproteobacteria; Enterobacterales; Enterobacteriaceae
Description: partial 23S ribosomal RNA
Rfam family: Bacterial large subunit ribosomal RNA
Source: RNAcentral